AGGGGUUCAAGUUUUGGCUUAUGUAGAAUUUUUAGUUUUGCUCUUAAAUGAAUCUGGACACUGGCAUAUAGGCCUAAUAAAUAAUAGUGCUUGUUCAUGACAUAAAAAGAGCUUGUGGCCUAGUGGUAAAGUGGCGUGUUGUGUAACUGUGAGGUCUGAGGUUCAAGUCUUGGGUUGCACAAUGGAGUACUUAUUUUGCUGCUUGAGCUGUGUAGGAAGUGGAGUUGGACUGAAACACAGCCAAAGGGAGUUUGAAUGGAAUUUGAAUGGAGUUGUCGGGGGAGUUGAGGAGAAAUAGGUGAAGUGAUUCAAGGAAGGGAUAAGGGGAGAGAUUUUAGGAGAAAACGAAGGGAAGUGAGGGGAAAGGAGAGGGUAUGCAAAAAUUGAACUUUGUACUCAGGAAAAAUUCAGCCAGAGGGGAUAUUUCUCAUAUUGGUUUUGUGUAUCGUUUGUUUUUGCUUUGCUUUUUGGUGCCGAAUUUUACUAAGAGUUAGAGUACCUAUCAAGUUUUCUUUUUCUGCUAUCUCCUUUUAUUUUGUGGUUUUGGCCUAAUUGUUUUGGUUCCCUCAUUUGUCAAAUUUCCCUUUUUCUUUGUCAUUCAUCGGCUUUUGGUUCUCCAUUCUUUUCUCUCUUAUUCUAUUCCACAGUUUGUGUUCUCUUAGCCAAAUACCUUUUUGUCUUUCAAUCGGUUUACCUUUGCCAGGCUAUUCUUCUUUUACCUUCUAGUCGAAUAUCACCCUAUGUAUCAUUUUUUGCGCCAAUCUUUUCUCCACUGAUUCUUGUUGUUCUUGUGCUGCAGGUGUUUCUGGCCUAUCGGUAAAGCGUUUAUACUCAUCACUUUUGAUUAAACCUAUUCUUUUCUAUUCUUCUUCUUAAAACCAAAUACUUUUAUUUUAUUCUUUGAUUACUGACUGUUGAUUCGUUCCUCUUAAGGUGUUACUCAUUGCAGUUUAGAGCUUCCUUUGGGGAGUGGUGUUUUGAAGUGGUCGCAUCCCUUGUUCUCAAUGUUCAAACAAGGUAAUAUGCUACCUCACUUUUGAGGUUUAAGCCAUAUGCUAUCUAUGUUCCUAUAGGAUACCGUUCACGAUUUGUAGCCACUUAUAUGGCCUAACUUAGUUUUGUGAUAUUUGUUUGUGGUGUAGUUAAUCGAUAAAAGUGUGUGACCACUUUUGGUUGGCGGUCUUGGAGGAGUAGAGUUGCCCUCUUUCAAGCAAGGUAAGGAAGGUAUUUUGAAUUAAGUGUCAAUAAAAGGGUGUUUUACCCUAACAAUUAAAGGAUUGACUUUGGGUCAUGGUUGAAUCUAGGUUGGGGUGCGUGGAGAUUUGCGCUCUUCUCAUAAACAGGUGUGUAAUCACCCCACUACAACCGUAGAUUGGCGAAAAGCUGAAAAGCCAUAAACAUGGUGUUUGAGACCACACGGGCAUGUGAUCGCUCAAGUGGUAAGCCCAACUUGCGAUUCGUGGGCAAAUGACCAAAAUACCCUCAAUGGGUAAAAUGAUCGAAAUACCCCCGAUGGUAAAAUGACCAAAAUACCCUCGAUGGGUAAAAUGACCGAAAUACCCUCGAUGGGUAAAAUGACCAAAAUACCUCCAAUGGGUAAAAUGACCGAAAUACCUUUAUAGGGUAAAAUGACCAAAAUACCCUCAAAUGGUAAAAUGAUCGAAAUACCCUAAAAGGAUAAAAUAACCGAAUUACCCCCGAAGGGUAAAAUGACCGAAAUACACUUGAAGGGUAAAAUGACUAAAAUACCCUUGAAGAGUAAAAUGAUCGAAAUACCCUUGAAGGGUAAAAUAAUCGAAAUACCCCUUAAGGGUAAAAUGACCAAAAUACCCUCUUAGGGUAAAAUGACUGUUCUACCCGUAGGAGUUGAGAUGUCUGUAUGGCCUUAUAUAUGUAUGACUAAUUUGCCCUAAGAUAUGUAUGUUUAUGAUUGAAUAUGACACAUACACGUAUGAUUUAUGACAUAACAUACUGCAUGGGGUUGGGAUAUUGAUAUGGGGGAAGUGUACUGUACUGGUGGCUUUGACACAUAUACUGUUACUGGUAACUUCACUGCGAUACUUUUACUGGCAGCUUUGCUGCAAUAUUGGUGUGUUGGCUGGAUGGGUCGAUUUUAUCCCCACAUGGUGUGUUGGUGGUACGGACUGGUGUGUUGGCUAGAUUGGGAUGGGUUGUAUUAUUACACUGUACUAAUACUGUAUUGGGCUAAGGCCCACACUGUUACUAUAUCAGGCUAAGGCCCACACUGUUACUAUAUCGAGCUAAGGCCCACACUGUACUGUUACUGCAUAGGGCUUAGGCCCAAACUGUUACUACAUGUUGUAGACCAACUUUUUGGUAGGGGAUUUCACACUGAGUUUCGUAAACUCACCCUCUCCUUUUACCUGUGCAGGUAAUACUCAGCCAUAAGCAAUUCAGUGCUGCGAGGGACUUGGAGGUGGCCACACAACUACCGCUGUUUACACUUGCUUUUAAUUUAAUUUAAUUUAAUUUAUAUGUUGGGUUUUUUUUUGUAAUAAGGCCUUUAAGUUUGUUUAAAAUUUUAAUUGGGCUUCCGCUUACCUAUUUUAAACUGCUAGUUAGGAGAAGACGGGUUUUAAAAUAAUUAUUGUUUUCAAAUACACGAGUUUUUAAACAGUAUCUGAUAACAAGGCAAACAUUUUUGUUUUGUUAACUAAUAUGUGAUACGCCAAAUUCGACCAUAAUGUCUAGGCCGAGUAUGGGGUGUUACAAUUUG
RNAcentral lists this long non-coding RNA (2737 nucleotides) under Gossypium barbadense (sea-island cotton). RNAcentral's name for it is "long non-coding RNA (GBAR_LNC023131)". Lineage: Eukaryota; Viridiplantae; Streptophyta; Magnoliopsida; Malvales; Malvaceae. The record is from RNAcentral.